RNAcentral lists this transfer RNA (74 nucleotides) under Motiliproteus sp. MSK22-1. It matches the Rfam family "tRNA". From Rfam's summary of the family: Transfer RNA (tRNA) molecules are approximately 80 nucleotides in length. Their secondary structure includes four short double-helical elements and three loops (D, anti-codon, and T loops). The record is from Rfam by way of RNAcentral. Lineage: Bacteria; Pseudomonadati; Pseudomonadota; Gammaproteobacteria; Oceanospirillales; Oceanospirillaceae.
GGGCCUUUAGCUCAGUUGGUUAGAGCCCCCGACUCAUAAUCGGUCUGUCACUGGUUCAAGUCCAGUAAGGCCCA